AUCUCAUUUUAGCAUAUAUAUACUAAACUUGGAAGAGUAUAGAAAUUAGCACACCCCUGUGCAAGGAUGACAACCAAAUUUAUGAGUUAUCCACAUCAUGG
Molecule: small nuclear RNA, 101 nt
Filed under: Calidris pygmaea (Spoon-billed sandpiper)
Lineage: Eukaryota; Metazoa; Chordata; Aves; Charadriiformes; Scolopacidae
Source: RNAcentral